GUGCUUGCUUAGCAGUGCAUAAUAUUAAAUUGAAACGAUACCGAGAAGAUUAGGAUGGCCUAUUGCAAGGAUUACACACAAAAACAGGAAGCAUUUCAUUAAAAA
This is a small nuclear RNA of Hyaena hyaena (striped hyena), 105 nucleotides long. NCBI's taxonomy places the organism in Eukaryota, Metazoa, Chordata, Mammalia, Carnivora, Hyaenidae. The record is from RefSeq and is a predicted model, not a curated record.